CAGCAGCCGCGGUAACACGAAGGGUGCAAGCGUUACUCGGAAUUACUGGGCGUAAAGCGUGCGUAGGUGGUGGUUUAAGUCCGUUGUGAAAGCCCUGGGCUCAACCUGGGAAUUGCAGUGGAUACUGGGUCACUAGAGUGUGGUAGAGGAUAGUGGAAUUUCCGGUGUAGCAGUGAAAUGCGUAGAGAUCGGAAGGAACAUCUGUGGCGAAGGCGACUAUCUGGGCCAACACUGACACUGAGGCACGAAAGCGUGGGGAGCAAACAGGAUUAGAGACCCCUGUAGUCCCUGUCUCUUAUAC
Molecule: ribosomal RNA, 301 nt
Filed under: uncultured bacterium
Lineage: Bacteria
Description: partial 16S ribosomal RNA
Rfam family: Bacterial small subunit ribosomal RNA
Source: RNAcentral